GACGAACGCUGGCGGCGUGCUUAACACAUGCAAGUCGAACGGGCCCGCUCUCUUUUUUGGGGGUGGGUUGAGUGGCGAUCGGGUGAGUAUCACGUGAGUAACCUGCCCCCUGCUCCUGGAUAACUGCUUGAAAGGGCGGCUAAUACGGGGUGUGCCGGCUGGUCCGCAUGGGCCUGGUCGGGAUAGUUUCAUCUUCGGGUGUUUCGGUGGGGGAUGGGCUCGCGGCCUAUCAGCUUGUUGGUGGGGUGAUGGCCCACCAAGGCGGUGACGGGUAGCCGGCCUGAGAGGGUGGGCGGCCACACUGGGACUGAGACACGGCCCAGACUCCUGCGGGAGGCAGCAGUGGGGGGUAUUGCACAAUGGGCGGAAGCCUGAUGCAGCGACGUCGCGUGAGGGAUGGAGGCCUUCGGGUUGUGAACCUCUUUCUCCGGUGGUGAAGGCCCUGUCCGUUGCGGCGGGGUUGACGGUAGCCGGGUAUGAAGCGCCGGCUAACUACGUG
Molecule: ribosomal RNA, 499 nt
Filed under: uncultured bacterium
Lineage: Bacteria
Description: partial 16S ribosomal RNA
Rfam family: Bacterial small subunit ribosomal RNA
Source: RNAcentral